GAUGAACGCUGGCGGCGUGCCUAAUACAUGCAAGUCGAGCGAACAGACGAGGAGCUUGCUCCUCUGACGUUAGCGGCGGACGGGUGAGUAACUCGUGGAUAACCUACCUAUAAGACUGGGAUAACUUCGGGAAACCGGAGCUAAUACCGGAUAAUAUAUUGAACCGCAUGGUUCAAUAGUGAAAGACGGUUUUGCUGUCACUUAUAGAUGGAUCCGCGCCGCAUUAGCUAGUUGGUAAGGUAACGGCUUACCAAGGCAACGAUGCGUAGCCGACCUGAGAGGGUGAUCGGCCACACUGGAACUGAGACACGGUCCAGACUCCUACGGGAGGCAGCAGUAGGGAAUCUUCCGCAAUGGGCGAAAGCCUGACGGAGCAACGCCGCGUGAGUGAUGAAGGUCUUCGGAUCGUAAAACUCUGUUAUUAGGGAAGAACAAAUGUGUAAGUAACUAUGCACGUCUUGACGGUACCUAAUCAGAAAGCCACGGCUAACUCCUUGCCAGCCGCCGCGGUAA
RNAcentral lists this ribosomal RNA (513 nucleotides) under uncultured bacterium. RNAcentral describes it as "partial 16S ribosomal RNA". It matches the Rfam family "Bacterial small subunit ribosomal RNA", at positions 28 to 523 of the family's 1533-position model. The record is from RNAcentral.